GCAAAAAGGCGAAACGUAGAAGGCAAGACCGGCUGCGAGUAAGUUAGACUCGUUAUCUUAUUCAAAGUGGGUAGUGGAGGAACAGUGACGAGAGGAAUGGCGAGCAUUGUGGCAGGGACGCCGUGGAUGAGAAUUAGAGUUUCUCCUCCGCAAAUUUUGCGCCAAUCGUCUGUGUAUUAUUGUUUCAACCGGAAGAGUAGAUUCUCAGUCUCAGCGUCCUUAUCGCCAAAUUCCAACAGAGCUGAUGGACAAGUCAGAGUUCGUUUUGCUCCUUCUCCCACCGGCAACCUCCACGUCGGCGGUGCCAGAACUGCUCUCUUCAAUUACUUGUUCGCUAGGUCGAAAGGAGGAAAAUUUGUUCUGAGAAUUGAAGAUACUGACUUGGAGAGGUCUACUCGGGAAUCUGAGGAGGCAAUGCUUCAGGAUCUUUCUUGGCUUGGUCUUGAUUGGGAUGAAGGCCCUGGUGUUGGUGGAGACUAUGGUCCUUAUAGGCAAUCUGAAAGGAAUUCUAUGUACAAGCAAUAUGCGGAUAAGCUUCUGGAUUCGGGUCAUGUUUAUCGUUGUUUUUGUUCUAAUGAGGAACUUGAGAAAAUGAAGGAGAUUGCAAAAUUAAAGCAGUUGCCUCCAGUGUAUACAGGAAAGUGGGCCACUGCAACUGAUGCAGAAGUACAGGACGAGUUGGCUAAAGGUACACCAUACACAUAUCGAUUUCAUGUGCCAAAGGAAGGGAGGUUGAAAAUCAAUGACCUUAUUAGAGGAGAAGUUAGUUGGAACUUGGAUACUCUUGGUGAUUUUGUAAUCAUGAGGAGCAAUGGACAGCCUGUUUACAAUUUCUGUGUCACUGUUGACGAUGCUACUAUGGCUAUUUCUCAUGUUAUAAGAGCAGAAGAGCAUUUACCAAAUACUUUAAGGCAAGCACUUUUAUAUAAGGCUCUUGGAUUCUCAAUGCCGUACUUUGCCCAUGUUUCCUUAAUUCUUGCACCUGAUAGGAGUAAGUUGUCAAAACGGCAUGGUGCAACUUCAGUGGGUCAGUUCAGGGAGAUGGGCUACCUGCCUCAGGCAAUGGUAAACUACCUGGCACUUUUAGGUUGGGGUGAUGGCACUGAAAAUGAAUUUUUCACACUUGAACAACUUGUUGAGAAAUUCUCAAUUGAGCGUGUUAACAAAAGUGGUGCCGUCUUUGAUUCUACUAAAUUAAGGUGGAUGAAUGGUCAGCAUUUAAGGGCUCUUCCAUCAGAAGAGUUGACCAAACUUAUUGGUGAACGCUGGAAGAGUACUGGUAUCCUCAAUGAAUCAGCGGGGCCAUUCGUAGAUGAGGCUAUUCAUCUGCUCAAGGAUGCGGUUGACUUGGUGACUGAUGCAGACAAAGCACUUUCAAAUUUGCUAUCUUAUCCUUUGCAUACUACUUUGACCAGUCCGGAAGGUAAACCUGUUGUAGAAGAUAACCUUUCUGAAGUUGCGGCUAACCUCUUAGCUGCCUAUGAUGGUGGCGAAAUUAUUGGUGCACUUGAAGAAGGCCCUGCUGGCUGGCAGAAGUGGGUGAAGAGCUUUGGAAAAUCAUUGAAGCGCAAGGGGAAAUCACUUUUCAUGCCCCUCAGGGUGUUGCUAACUGGAAAACUUCAUGGCCCAGAAAUGGGAGCCAGCAUAGUUUUACUCCACAAAGCUGGAAUCCAUGGCGUCAUUACUCCGCAAGCUGGGUUUGUGACAUUGAAUGAGAGGUUCAACAUGCUGAGAAAAAUCGACUGGGAAGCAUUGAACAAAAAUGAACCUCUGUUGGAGUCUGCCACCGCCGUACCCAACUGAGGGAUCACAAUUUUGACCGGCUCAUCAGAAACCUUAGAUUUUUACUUCCAAUAUAUUUGUGCUUCACCAAAAGAGACCAAUAAGUACACAACAGCCCAAAAUGUGUCAGCAUGUUCUUCAAGCUAACAAAGAGGCUUUCUAAGAAAUUAAUUUGUAGACGUUUGGUUUAAGAGAAAGAGAGAACCAAAAUGAGAAAGAUAGUCAAAGCAAUAGAAGGAAACAUCUAAUUUUUCAAGCA
Mangifera indica (mango) is the source of this 2041-nucleotide RNA transcript. It is a transcript of the gene named glutamate--tRNA ligase, chloroplastic/mitochondrial, with no coding region annotated. NCBI's taxonomy places the organism in Eukaryota, Viridiplantae, Streptophyta, Magnoliopsida, Sapindales, Anacardiaceae. The transcript has 14 exons. The record is from RefSeq and is a predicted model, not a curated record.